CUCUCUCCGAGGCAGCAGGCGCGUAAUUACUUAUCUGAAAGGGAGGUGGAAACAAGAUAUAAAAACGCAUUUAAUUGUGAUAGAAAUGAGGGUUCUCUCUACCGAACCACUAGUACGAUUAGAGGGCAAGUCUGGUGCCAGCAGCCGCGGUAAUUCCAGCUCUAAUAGCGUAUAUUAAAGUUGCUGCAGUUAAAAAGCUCGUAUUUGGAUUUCAAGGAUUGUGUACUCUUCCAGGGUAUGCACCCUACAAUCUUUGACUUGUUACUGUGAGAAAAUUAGAGUGUUUAAAGCAGGCUAUUGCAGAAUACAUCAGCAUGGAAUAACGAAUGUAUCCUAGAAUCUUGGGUAAUCCAGGAACGAUUAAUAGAGACAGUUGGGGGCAUGAGAGAGAGAAGUGCAGAGGGAAAUCUGGAUUGCCCCCACUCACCGCCCCCCAAUGAUUGGCAGGGAGGUUCGUGAUCAGACGAACAACGGGAACAAGACAUCAUAUCUGUCGUAUCCUAUCUUAACCAUCGCGACAAGGAUUGGAUUGGGCUCUCACAUUUCAGUACCUUAUGAAAUCAAGUUUUGGUUCCGGGGGAAUAUGUCCCCUACCUGAACUUAUGAAUUUGAUGUAGGACCCAGGAGUGGAGCCGGGGCUUAAUUGAACCCACCGUGUAAACUACAGUGCCGACCUAGUAGGAUGACAGAUUGUAGCCCUCUCCUGUGAUCUAGGGUGGGGGUGCAGUGCCUCUUAUUUGGGGAGAGGAUUGCU
RNAcentral lists this ribosomal RNA (754 nucleotides) under uncultured rumen protozoa. RNAcentral's name for it is "bacterial SSU rRNA". It matches the Rfam family "Eukaryotic small subunit ribosomal RNA", at positions 409 to 1315 of the family's 1831-position model. The record is from RNAcentral.